Molecule: ribosomal RNA, 292 nt
Filed under: uncultured bacterium
Lineage: Bacteria
Description: partial 16S ribosomal RNA
Source: RNAcentral
GGACUACCAGGGUAUCUAAUCCUGUUUGCUCCCCACGCUUUCGUGCCUGAGUGUCAGUUAUGGCCCAGGGGGCUGCCUUCGCCAUCGGUAUUCCUCCACAUCUCUACGCAUUUCACUGCUACACGUGGAAUUCUACCCCCCUCUGCCAUCCUCUAGCCGUACAGUCUCAAAUGCAGUUCCCAGGUUGAGCCCGGGGAUUUCACAUCUGACUUAUACAACCACCUGCGCACGCUUUACGCCCAGUAAUUCCGAUUAACGCUCGCACCCUACGUAUUACCGCGGCUGCUGGCAC